Non-coding RNA from Triticum aestivum (bread wheat), 125 nucleotides. The record is from Rfam. Lineage: Eukaryota; Viridiplantae; Streptophyta; Magnoliopsida; Poales; Poaceae.
AUACUACUCCCUCCGUCCGGAAUUACUUGUCGUCAAAAUGGAUGAAAAUGGAUGUAUUUAGAUCUAAAAUACAACUAGGAACAACCAUUUCUUCGACAAGUAUUUCCGGACGGAGGGAGUACUUG